CUCACGCUGACAGCCUUCUGUAAGAGAAGGGUCCCCGCCCGUGCGUUAGCUGUGCGAGCAGGUGCUGAGAGAAGGACUGCAGAGGGGGACGGCUGGAUUCCCAACCAGGUCCGACAGAAACCCGGGAGUGGCGUGCGCCAUCUCAACGGGAUGAGCAGAUGGAGGUCGGAGGAGACACUGCUGCCCCAGCCCCCGGGGACGCGGAGGACUUGGAAGACGCGCGGCUCCCCAGUGAGGAGGCUGGAGACGGUGGAGGGAUGCACGAGAACCCGCUGGAUCCUGGAGACACGGGCCUGGAGGGAACAGGACCGGAGACGAAGGACCAGCCACCCGACCUGCUGUCACCAGUGCCCCAGUCAGAGACCCCAUCAGAGGUUCCAUCAUGCACCUGUGGGCUCUGGGGUCCUGCGGCCUCUGAAACUAGUCCCAUGGGUGACCCUGAGAGUGGCUCUGGGGGCCAGGGCGGGGACCCCAGUGACGAGGACUGGCGCAGCAAGCGGAAGCAUGUGUUUGUGCUGAGUGAGGCAGGCAAGCCUAUCUACUCGAGGUACGGUAGUGUGGAGGCACUGUCGGCUACCAUGGGUGUGAUGACAGCCCUCGUGUCCUUCGUGCAGAGUGCGGGAGAUGCCAUCCGCGCCAUCUACGCUGAGGACCACAAGCUGGUGUUCCUGCAGCAGGGCCCACUGCUGCUGGUGGCCGUGUCAAGGACUCCGCAGUCCGCAGCCCAGCUACGCGGGGAGCUGCUGGCUGUUCACGCACAGAUCGUAAGCACGUUGACUCGCGCAAGCGUGGCCCGCAUCUUUGCACGCAAACAGAACUACGACCUGCGCCGCCUGCUGGCUGGCUCGGAGCGCACCCUAGACCGGCUUCUGGAUAGUGUAGAGCAAGACCCAGGUGCGCUGCUCCUGGGCGCUGUGCGCUGCGUGCCCCUUGCUCGCCCACUGCGGGAUGCACUGGGUUCGCUGCUGCGACGUUGCACGGCACCUGGCCUGGCCCUGUCAGUGCUGGCGGUUGGCGGUCGACUGGUGACAGCAGCCCAGGAGCGGACCGUGCUGGCUGAGUGCCGGCUGGACCCAGCCGACCUGCAGUUGCUGCUUGACUGGGUGGGUGCACCGGCCUUUGCAGCAGGGGAGGCCUGGGCACCUGUGUGCCUGCCCCGCUUCAACCCCGACGGUUUCUUCUACGCCUAUGUGGCCCGCCUGGAUGCAAUACCUGUCUGCCUGCUGCUUCUUGGCACCAAUCCCGAGGCCUUCCAUGACAUGGCCACCUGCCGGCGCCUGGUAGAAGAGGGCAUGCACAACCUUGGUGCCAUGCGUGUCCUUGAGGAGGCGGCCAGUUUCUCUCAUGCCCCAUCCACCAAUGCCCCCGCCUACAGUGUGCAGGCUGUGGGGGCACCUGGCCUCCGGCACUUUCUCUAUAAGCCACUGGACAUCCCUGACCAUCACCGCCAGCUGCCUCAGUUUACCAGCCCGGAGCUGGAGGACCCCUACAGCAGAGAGGGGGAGCGGCAGCGCCUGUCCGACCUGUAUCACCGCCUGCACUCUCGCCUGCACAGCGCCUCCCGGCCCCUGCGCCUCAUUUACCAUGUGGCUGAGAAGGAGACUCUGCUAGCCUGGGUGACCUCCAAAUUUGAGCUCUAUACCUGCCUCAGCCCCCUGGUGACCAAGGCAGGGGCCAUCUUGGUAGUGACCAAACUCCUGCGCUGGGUGAAGAAAGAGGAGGAUCGGCUCUUCAUCCGUUACCCACCUAAGUACUCCACACCCCCCGCAGCUCCAGCUGCCUCUACAGACCAGGCUUCCCAUAAUGGCUUGUUCACCGGCCCUUGAGUGGGGAGUUCAAGAUGGCAGACCUGGGAAUGAGCACCUGUGCUCCCCACCCUGGAAAAGGGCAGGAGGAUGGGGGUUGGAGGUGGUGUCUGUGGCUGGUCCCUGUCUCCUUGGGCAGUGGGCAAGAUCAGAGGGCCUGCCCACCAAUGGGCCUGCCCAGAAAUGGUGGCAGGGUGACUGUACACCCUGUUUCCUCAGCCCCCGCAGCCACCUUCACAUCUGGGGAAGUACUCAGGCCUCCGUCUUCCCCUUCCUCUGAUGCUGCAGCCUUUGCCUGGUGCUGUCUCCUGCCAUCCUGGGCACCACACCCUCUGUCCUGCAUCAGGAGUCUGCCCCCUCAGUGGGGUCUUAGCCCUGCAUGUCCAGGGCUGGCCAAGGUCUCUUUGUGUGGCCCAGGUCCAGAACUGGGAAUGGAAGACAGCCUGUGGCCUGGACCCAGCCUGAGGAUAUUUUAAAGAAAGAUCUGUACAUAAGAGGCCUAAAACCAACCCCCACUAGGACGCUCCCCCAUCGUUCGUGUACUUGAUCUCUUCCCUGUCAGAAAAGCCCCAUCAGUGCUGGCCGCUGUCAGUGAGGUGGUGGCCUCCAGGGCCUCACCUGUCCGUGUGACCCCGAGCAAAGCACUCGACCGCACAUGGUGGCUGAGGACGAGUUUUUAAGUAGGGGUGCCCUUGGCUUUUAAGUAUCAUUCUUCUCAUCUAUGAAAUAGAUGACUAAGCUCUCACAGGCUGUUAAAUGAGGAUCUGUGAACAGAAAGACUCGAAUGCGUGCGUAUCACACACAGCACCUGCACACUUGUCCCACAGUGACAGCACAAGCAACCUGGAGAGGGACAACACGCAAGCGCCGUCCCACCGGGACCCUGGCUCUGGCCUUGGGUCGUGCCAUCCUGGGUCAUGGCCUCGUGGUGUGCGCAUGCGCUCUGUGCCCUAGCUGUCAGGGCCCGGGGCGCUCCACUUGCUGGGAGGAAACCCCUCUGCUCCUCACGCUGGUCAACCGCUGUGGGGACGCACGCUGCAGGCAUGCUCUCUGCACAGCCUUCUGCCCUCGCAUUUUAAACCAAUUGUUUAAGGUGCAUGUGCACAAAGAGGCACGUUGGAAAAUGGCGGGGAAACCGGAACCGCCAGAAAUUGCGGAGGAGGCUGAAGGUAGUAAGGGCAGGUGAGGGGGGAGCCUUCGUCCCUUUACAGUAACGAAAUGUUGAUAGCAGUAGUAAGAAAAGGUAAAAGUUUAAGCCUUUUAUUAAGACAAAGUGGAGAAAGAUGCAUAUGCUCAUCAUGUAGAUUGAUUUGCCAACUUUAUUGGAUAUAGUAGGUAUUUUAGAGAAAAUAGGCAAAAUGCAUCAGUAUACAUCACUUCAAACAAAAAAGGAGGUGGAUAUUCCCACAGAAAUCGCUCGGCUGCCGCCACAUCCACAAAUCCGCAGGGACUGCCGCUGUCAUCGCUGCGCCCCCACCCCGUACCGCAUCGCCCACGGACCCGGCAGUCUUCCUGGAGAAUGGCCUCCCCCGCAGACAGCUGCUUUUCCCCGGGGCAUUUUGUGGAUGAUGACACCCCACAUCCUAGUGAUAGGGAGAAAAAUGUCCUAGAGACGUUUGGAAAUUACAGUCAAACUAAAAGAUCUCCCAAGACAAUGAUCCCCCACUAUGCCGUACACAUUCUCAGAAUGUACAGAAAAUAACAUGAGGAAGGCCCAUGGAUCCAUCACUGUUUCAACAGUUGUCGACUUUCCAUCCUCCUUCCAUCUAUCGCACACUCUUCAAACCGCUAUAUUAAUAAAUACGUUCAAUUGCCUCUUUCCAGACCUAUCUAGGCAAACAUCACCAAUAAUUAUGAUCAUUUGCUUAUUUGUUUUCUACCCUAGGAUGAGAGCUCCAUGAGAAUAGACUAUUUAUUGCUGUUUCCCCAGCACUUAAAACAAUGCCUGCUUGGCAUAGAGUAGGUGCUCAGUAAGUUAUCGUAUGAAAAAUGGACCAACUUUAAGAUGGAGAAUGCUCGUAGAUUAAGGCCACACGUGCAAUACCAGCUUUCAACAAAGGACACAGAAAUAAGACAGAUAUAAAUAGAUCUCAUUUAUUAAGCACUUAACUAGCUGCUACUGUGCUGAAAAGCAGUGUUAGUAUCAAGCUUGCAAGUUAGUCAAAAUUAAAGUUAUAAUCAACUUUGCCAGCAGUGGAGAAAAUUGAAAAGCCUAUCAAGUUACCAUUAUCUCUAGUCCAUCAAAAUUGGCUUUAAAAUAAGAGGAGUAUAGUCUAGUAUUGAUUACUCAGGAGAAACGGGCCGUGUCUUGCCUCACUGGGAGAACUGACCAGUAAAGGCUUUGCUAGGAGCCCUUUGGCAGAAUAUUUUUAGCAUCUGAAAUGCUAUUCCAUAACUUCAGUCACCAUGCUUGGUAGUCAUAGGAGUAAACACAGAUGUCUGGUCCUGGAAUGGUCACCGGAGUAUCGUUGAUGGAAGCAAAAGACAAGGAGUAAUCAGGGAAAUGGCUAAUUGUGGGUGUAUAGAUAUUUGCAUGCAUAAUGUGGAAUGCUUGUGUGGAGGACAUUUCUUUUUUAAGUGGCAGAAAAAAUUCCAAUUUUAUUUGAAAUAAUUAAAAAUUAAUUUUUAAAAGGACAAGUCCAUGAUUUAUUGAUACAGAAUGAGCUUCCAAAGAGAUUAUAUUUUUAUGAGUGAAAAGCAAGGUAAAACUUUAAAAAAAAAAGAAGGGGGCAGUGUAAGUGCAGGCCUGUGUGUGUUGCACAGAAAAAUGUCUGAAGGCUGAAGGCCUAACUAAUGAGUCUCAAUAAGGGACUUAGAUUUUGGGGGUGUGCAAAGGUAGAGCACUUUUGAUACUGUUUUUUUUUUAUUUUAGGAAAAUGCAAGUAGUACUGUAUAUUUAAAAAUAUAUAAGGGAAAGGAAAAAUUCUGAAUGGCACUUGAGGAUCAUGUAUUCAUAUUGAUCAGUAGUGAUAUCCUGGUUUUAAUGGUUAUACUGUGGUUACCUGGUAGAGUCCCCUGUGUAUAGGAAAUACCCACUGGAGUAUUGAAAAAUAAUGGGCCAUGAAGCCUGCAAUUUAUGGCACAGAAAUGCUCGCAAAUGGCAAAUCUGAUACAAGGGCAAGUAGGAGCAUCAUUUCAGAUGAUUGCAAAAUAAUUAAAAAGGCGCAUACUCUACAGGCUGUUUUGUAACAUGGAUUUUUAAGAAUUUUUAUCAAGAUGUUAGUUGGAUUAUUUAAAAGAGUUACUGAUCUCCCGAGAUCUUACCCCAUGAGUAGGUCUAGAAAUGCAGUAGAGAGGAAAAACCACAUAAAGAGCUUUUGCAAAACAGUUGCAAAAGCUGGCUAUAAAAGACAUGUGGGGACAAUCAAGGGAAAAGGUAUGUUCUGGUUUUUUGAUAUUAUGUGAUGAUUGUUAAUCUUGUCUGUGUGAAUAUAGCAUUAGAAUCAUUUAAGAAAAUGUCCUCAGGUAGUUGAGACUAUUAGGAAAGUAACUGGGAAUGAAAUGUCCUGAAGCCUGGGGCUGCUUAGAAAUACUUCAGCACAGAAGCAGAUAUGGAUGAAUAUUACUGUCAGAUUUUGGCAGUGAGUAAGUCAGAGUUCAUCAUGUAUCCUCUCUACACUCAUGUAUGUUUAGAAAUUUUUAUAAUGAAAUAUUAGAAAAAAUAAUCACAAAUACCUUCCUUUGUAUUAAAGUGCUCUGAUUUUUUUUGUUUCAUUACCAAAUAUUGAGAGUAUUUAAAAAUUAAAAAGUCUCAACAGGAGACUUACCAACCUAUUAUUAUUGGUUAUAUCAAAGAAAGGAAGUAAGAUUUAGGGCCAAAGAGAGAAAAGGAAGUUUCAUUUUUAACUUCACAUACUUCUGUAGUGUUUGCAUGUUUUUAGAAUGUUGUUUGGGUAAGAAAGUAAAAAAAAAUACAUUUGCUAAAAGAUCUGAGUGUCUUCACCAAACUGUUGGCAAUUAUUAUUUCUAGAAAGGGGAGUGACCCAGGGAAGGGGCUCUUGGUGAGAGGAGGCUGCCUCGUGUUUGUGUCCGGCCUCCGCCGCCCGGCGGAGUCUGAGCCCCAGGAGUCGGUGGGGUGGGCGCGGGGCCCUUGCUCCCUGGGGAGGGGGGAGGAUUCAGGCUCUCUGGGCGGGGCCUCGACCGGGCUCCGCCCACCGGCCCCUGCUGGUUGCUCACCCAGAGGCUCAGGUGCUCUUGAGAAGCCCAGUGCACAAAUGGGUGGGUGUCAAGGCUACCCCGUCUCCACGGCCUCAUCCUGGAUUCCUGAAUCUCCUGUUUUAUCAACAGCGGCUAGAGUGAACGUGUUAAAAAUCCAUGCCAGGUUCGUGUCGGCCUCCUGCUGUUCAGCGGCCCUGCAUUCCUCAUGGGUUCCCGCCACCUCGGACAUGGACCUGCCUGCCUACCCUGACCCCUCCCCAUUCCCCCAGGUUCAGAUGUGAGUGGACCUGGGGGAGCUCGGCGUCGCCCAAAGGCUGAAGGGCGUGCCUGAGAGAAGUGAGCUGCAAAGUGACUGAACAUCCCCAGAGGGGCCGCAGGACAGGUGCACAGAGCGCAGCCGGACCAGCAGCGGGUCGGGUGGUAGGAGGGGGUGUGGCCGAGCACCUGCCUGAGACUCCAGGUGGGCCGGACCACUUCCCCCAGAAUCCACACUGGUCGAGUUCAGCCUGCGCGCUUCAGGCAGGUCACUUAACUUCUCUGUGCCUCAGUUGCCUCAUCUGUAAUGUACAGGGUUUUUUUGAGUGUUAAAUUGAUAACAUAUAGGAAGUGCUUAAAACAAGGCUUGGCACAUCAUGAGCGCUACGUUGGUGGGAGCCACCAUUAUUAUUGUGAAGAAUUUUCCAUAUUCUCAUGUGGUCAUCACCCCAGUACUUCUACCUGAUCAAUAGCAUGUAUUUUUGUCAGUAGAAGAAACUGAUGGUGACAUAACCACAACCAGGACAGAACAGGAACUUAAGCCCAGGUCUUCCUUCCUCGAGUCCAGAAUUCUUUCUGUUCCACCUGCUGUAGUGUUUCUCUUGCUCUGUCCACACGCAGGUUUGUUUGGUGGUUUCUCUUUGUCUUGUUUAAAAACAAAAUUCAACUGAAUACAUUUUAAGGGUCAUAAUUGGCUUUAUUCCACGGUUUGUGCCCUGGGCCGCAUCCUGUCUCGCAGAUAGAAAAGAGCUCCCAGGAGCUGUGCAAAAUGAAAGACUUUUAUAUUUUAUAGGGAAGAGUGGGAGCAAGACAGUUAUAUUAGAGAAAAAGGCUGGUUGGUUAUAAGGUCAGUUUCCUUUAGGGGAAGGCAGGGUCUCUCAGGAAGAUGACCCAGCUGAGCUGACUUGCAACUAACCAUCUUCAUUGGUACUUGCACAAUAAACCUUUGCUAAUUAAUCCUUAAGUGA
Manis javanica (Malayan pangolin) is the source of this 7186-nucleotide non-coding RNA. The record is from RefSeq and is a predicted model, not a curated record. NCBI's taxonomy places the organism in Eukaryota, Metazoa, Chordata, Mammalia, Pholidota, Manidae.